GAUGAAGAACGCAGCGAAAUGCGAUAAGUAAUGUGAAUUGCAGAAUUCAGUGAAUCAUCGAAUCUUUGAACGCACAUUGCGCCCCUUGGUAUUCCGGGGGGCAUGCCUGUUCGAGCGUCAUUUCACCACUCAAGCCUCGCUUGGUAUUGGGCAACGCGGUCCGCCGCGUGCCUCAAAUCGACCGGCUGGGUCUUCUGUCCCCUAAGCGUUGUGGAAACUUUCGCUAAAGGGUGUUCGGGAGGCUACGCCGUAAAACAACCCCAUUUCUAAGGUUGACCUCGGAUCAGGUAGGGAUACCCGCUGAACUUAAGCAUAUCAAUAAGCGGAGGA
Molecule: unclassified non-coding RNA, 330 nt
Filed under: soil metagenome
Description: partial contains 5.8S ribosomal RNA, internal transcribed spacer 2, and large subunit ribosomal RNA
Rfam family: 5.8S ribosomal RNA (bases 1-120)
Source: RNAcentral